Monodelphis domestica (gray short-tailed opossum) is the source of this 2066-nucleotide long non-coding RNA. The record is from Ensembl. NCBI's taxonomy places the organism in Eukaryota, Metazoa, Chordata, Mammalia, Didelphimorphia, Didelphidae.
AUGGCAACCUCAGAAUGGGAAGAAACUGCAGUCAGCCAGCUCAGUGCGGAAGCUCCAAGAAACCAAUUUGCCUGGGACUUGAGCCCAAGGAAAAAUGGUUUUGUACAUAGGGUAUUACAUUGUCAACUCAAGACAACUCAUAGACAAAAAGGGCAACUUCCCACUUCUAGCACCCGUCUCUGCAAAAAGUUUCUAUGGAACAGCCAUCCAGUCAAAACCAACACACUUUCUCCCAUGAGAUGUCAUCCGGCUUUCUCCAAGACGACUUCCUCCGACCGCAUGUUUGUCUUGGAAUGUCCUCAGAAGGCUCUGUCAGCCAUUUGCCAACAGGCUCCAACCCCCAGAGUCCGUCCAAUGGGUGGGGAGGGGCUAUUCAAAGUCUGUCUUUUCCCCUUGUGGCUUGUUGUCACCUCUUCCUCCUCUGAAACCACCUCGACCUCCAAAAUUUCCUCCUCUGCCUUGGCCUCCGAAGCCCCCUCAGACUCCUCUGCCACCUCCUUGUCCCCCAAAGCCUCCUCGUCCCCCACCACAUCCUCUUCCCGGGCUCCCAAAGCUGCUGUGCUUGGCAUUUUCUUUUUUAUCAUGCAUUCCUUUUAUAUUUCACUCAUAAGACCAUGAAAUCACAUAUCUGUAUUUCUCUCUGUCUAUAUCUAUGUUUCUAUGCAUUUAUGUAUGUAUAUAUGUAUGUAUGUAUGUAUGUAUAAAUCUAUCUAUCUAUCUAACUAACUAUGUAUCUAUGUAUCUUUCUAUAGAGAGAACUAGAAGGAAACUCGUCAUUUGGUCCAAAUCCCUCAUUUUAGAUGAAAUAUUUUGCUUCACAUUGACAUAGUAAGGUCUGAGGUUUCAUCAAUUCAAAGCACCAGGUGUGGUUUAAGAUGAUGUUUCAGAGAGCUAUUAUCAGGGUGAACCACCAUGAGGUGCUCUAGGUCAACCACAGUGCUUAGAACUACUGCCCUAACCCAUUCACUAGGGAUGAGUGAAUGAAACAGCUGCUCCUGUUGGUUGCUAUAUGUGAUCAUAAUGUAGUUCAAAGCUUGAACAAACCAAAUCGUUUCUGGUGCAUGUGUGAAAUUUUAGCUCUGUUAUACUUGGUUUUUCUCAGUGCAUGUCUGGGUGUUAUAUAUAGGAAUAGAAAGAGCUAAAAGAAUAACUCAUAAAUCUCUCAUAGCUUAGCUCUUAUCUUCUGGGGAUGACAAAGUGUAGCUACUUCUCUACUUCAUUGAAGACCUUAAUACCUCAUUGUUCUUUUUACCUGCCAAUAUUUCAUCAACUAUUCCAGGGAAAACCAAUUGACCAGGGGUGUUUUGAUCAAUUUCCUUAUAUUUCACAAGCAUCAAAGAGGAAGAAUUGGGGGAUAGUCUCUUUCUUGGCUUACCACAUUCUCCUCCCACUAUCAAGCUGCUCCUUUACUGACUGUUAACAGUGUCUUAAUGAGCUAUAAAGUUUUAUUCUAAUCCCUAGUAUGAUGAUGCUACUUUUGGAUACCUUAAAGGCUGAUCACUACAGAACUAUUGGCCAGAUGCCAUUUUCCCCAUUUUUCCCCCAAAGGCCUUCAGGGUUUCUCUUCACUAUUCUACUUUUUUAAAAUUGUGAUUCUCUUUUAAAAUACCUCAUUCAUAGUAGGACACUAAAAGGGCCUUAAGCAUACUACUUAAGUUAAAUGACAGUUCUCCUAGUCCUAUAUUUCCUAUUCUUUAUGAGUCUAAAAUACCAGGAAACCAAAGUGGGGAAAAAAUAAUUAAUGUCUGAAACAGAGAAUUGAAUAUAUGGUUAAAUGACUUGUACAGGGUCAAAAAGAUAAUGAAUAGCUGAGCCAUGAUUUGAAACUAGGUGUUCUGACUCCAGAUUUGGUGUGCAAAUUUCCGCUAUCCCAUUAUUGCCUUUUGUUUACAAACUGGCUUAUUCCACCUUUCAGAUUGACCUCACAAACCCUAUACUCUAGCCAAACUGGAAUAACCACUGCCUUCUAAUUUUGAUAUUUAAUGUCUGACUUUUGUGCCUUUUAAAAAAUAUUUUGAACUUAACCACAAAAUAAAAUGAACAUUACUGUGUAAAGGAGAUAAUAU